RNAcentral lists this ribosomal RNA (494 nucleotides) under uncultured bacterium. RNAcentral describes it as "bacterial SSU rRNA". It matches the Rfam family "Bacterial small subunit ribosomal RNA", at positions 15 to 507 of the family's 1533-position model. The record is from RNAcentral.
GAUCCUGGCUCAGGAUGAACGCUGGCGGCGUGCUUAACACAUGCAAGUCGAACGGAGUUCCUUGGAUAGAGGUUUCGGCCAAUUGAAUUGGAACUUAGUGGCGGACGGGUGAGUAACGCGUGAGUAACCUGCCUUGGAGUGGGAAUAACACAGAGAAAUUUGUGCUAAUACCGCAUAAUGCAUUUGAGUCGCAUGGCUCUGAAUGCCAAAGAUUUAUCGCUCUGAGAUGGACUCGCGUCUGAUUAGCUAGUUGGCGGGGUAACGGCCCACCAAGGCGACGAUCAGUAGCCGGACUGAGAGGUUGGCCGGCCACAUUGGGACUGAGACACGGCCCAGACUCCUACGGGAGGCAGCAGUGGGGAAUAUUGGGCAAUGGGCGCAAGCCUGACCCAGCAACGCCGCGUGAAGGAAGAAGGUUUUCGGAUUGUAAACCUCUGUCCUCAGGGACGAAGGAAGUGACGGUACCUGAGGAGGAAGCCCCGGCUAACUACGUG